This is a long non-coding RNA of Zonotrichia leucophrys gambelii, 1184 nucleotides long. RefSeq lists it as uncharacterized. Lineage: Eukaryota; Metazoa; Chordata; Aves; Passeriformes; Passerellidae. The transcript has 3 exons. The record is from RefSeq and is a predicted model, not a curated record.
AGAGAGUGGGAGUUGGUUGGCUGUGGAGAAGAAGGGGGUCAGUGCUGUGAGGAGAUGCCCAUGAGACAUCACCAAGAAGGAUUUUUGUCUGGGAGUUAGCUAAGCCUGAAGAUUAAUGUUACAGGGGAAAAUAGGCACAAAGGGAAUCUAAACUAAUGGCCCCAAGGACUGCAGCUUCAGGAACAGAUUUUUAUGUGUGCUCAUGUGAAUAUUCCAACCUGCAUCAGACCAAGCAACAAAUGUUGAAGAAUUCAUGUCCCCCCUGGGAUAUAAAACCUAAUAUGUACUUGGCAGUGGAAAACAAUCAAUCUGCAGUUGCUUAGAGGCUUAAUUAAAGGCCAGCUAUACCUGUGGCAAAAACUGGCAAACAUUGACUUUUCAAUGGUUUCUGUGAGCAAUUCAAAGGAAAAAAAAAAACCAGCCAAAAUUCAAACCUACUUGACUUAGUGUAAAGAGAAAAGUAAUUCUGAAGAGCAGGUGGGCUUUGGGAACACAACCUUUACUGAUGGAAGCCUUGGAGAUAAACACAACUUAGACAAGUGCUUAAAUGAUGCACAGGAUAGAAGAAGUUACCUUAACAAGAUCUAUUUUAUAGAGCUGUGUGUUUUUACUACCAGCUUGCAACUAAGAACUCAUGAAAAAGAGAAGUGCUUCUGAAAUGGUGGAAACAAAAUGUAUUGCCCCCUCUGGUAGAACAGCCAAGGGAUCUGAGGCAGUCCCUCAGCCCCUGCUGUGCAGGGAUGCAGCUGAACACCAUGUGGGAAAUGCAGUGAAGUCCAGCAGAGAUCACAGUGGCAGGGUUUUAAAGAAAUUACACUAAAAACUGCAGAGUUUAAGCUUCUUUUAAAGGAACAUUUGCUGUGAACCUUUGAAGAAAGACCCUCACUUGCUCUAAGCCUGGCUCACAAGUGAAAUGAAAGCUGUCCUUGCAGUGCUAUUCAGCUGUCCUCAAUGCACUUUCCAGUAAGAAGCCAUUAAUAGCCUCCAACAGGAGAGCAGAUGAACAGGAAACAGUUUCUGUGAAACUCUCCUCCUUGCUGCUGCUCUAAAACACACUCUAAGGCUCAUUCCAUUUGUGUGAGUGAUUUCUAAACAGCCCACUUAUUUAAAACUCCAUUUUUGCUGGACUAAAUUUCCCUCCUAUAAAGAGAGCCAGGGUGACAUUUAUGGUAGUGCCACAGCCA